This 484-nucleotide ribosomal RNA is filed under the name uncultured bacterium. Its description in RNAcentral is "partial 16S ribosomal RNA". It matches the Rfam family "Bacterial small subunit ribosomal RNA", at positions 30 to 507 of the family's 1533-position model. The record is from RNAcentral.
AUUGAACGCUGGCGGCAGGCCUAACACAUGCAAGUCGAGCGGAUGAAGGGAGCUUGCUCCUGGAUUCAGCGGCGGACGGGUGAGUAAUGCCUAGGAAUCUGCCUGGUAGUGGGGGAUAACGUCCGGAAACGGGCGCUAAUACCGCAUACGUCCUGAGGGAGAAAGUGGGGGAUCUUCGGACCUCACGCUAUCAGAUGAGCCUAGGUCGGAUUAGCUAGUUGGUGGGGUAAAGGCCUACCAAGGCGACGAUCCGUAACUGGUCUGAGAGGAUGAUCAGUCACACUGGAACUGAGACACGGUCCAGACUCCUACGGGAGGCAGCAGUGGGGAAUAUUGGACAAAGGGCGAAAGCCUGAUCCAGCCAUGCCGCGUGUGUGAAGAAGGUCUUCGGAUUGUAAAGCACUUUAAGUUGGGAGGAAGGGCAGCAAGUUAAUACCUUGCUGUUUUGACGUUACCAACAGAAUAAGCACCGGCUAACUUCGUG